GACGAACGCUGGCGGCGUGCUUAACACAUGCAAGUCGAACGGUAAGGCCCUUCGGGGUACACGAGUGGCGAACGGGUGAGUAACACGUGGGUGAUCUGCCCUGCACUUCGGGAUAAGCCUGGGAAACUGGGUCUAAUACCGGAUAGGACCACUGCCUGCAUGGGUGGUGGUGGAAAGCUUUUGCGGUGUGGGAUGGGCCCGCGGCCUAUCAGCUUGUUGGUGGGGUGAUGGCCUACCAAGGCGACGACGGGUAGCCGGCCUGAGAGGGUGACCGGCCACACUGGGACUGAGAUACGGCCCAGACUCCUACGAGAGGCAGCAGUGGGGAAUAUAGCACAAUGGGCGCAAGCCUGAUGCAGCGACGCCGCGUGAGGGAUGACGGCCUUCGGGUUGUAAACCUCUUUCAGCACCGACGAAGCGCAAGUGACGGUAGGUGCAGAAGAAGGACCGGCCAACUACGUGCCAGCCGCCGCGGUAA
Molecule: ribosomal RNA, 478 nt
Filed under: uncultured bacterium
Lineage: Bacteria
Description: partial 16S ribosomal RNA
Rfam family: Bacterial small subunit ribosomal RNA
Source: RNAcentral